Molecule: ribosomal RNA, 589 nt
Filed under: Microbotryum scabiosae
Lineage: Eukaryota; Fungi; Basidiomycota; Microbotryomycetes; Microbotryales; Microbotryaceae
Description: LSU rRNA
Rfam family: Eukaryotic large subunit ribosomal RNA
Source: RNAcentral
AGCAUAUCAAUAAGCGGAGGAAAAGAAACUAACAAGGAUUCCCCUAGUAACGGCGAGUGAAGCGGGAAAAGCUCAAAUUUGUAAUCUGGCGCCUUCGGUGUCCGAGUUGUAAUCUCGAGAAGUAUUUUCCGCGCUGGACCGCACAUAAGUCUGUUGGAAUACAGCGUCAUAGUGGUGAGAACCCCGUAUAUGGUGCGGAUGCCCAGUGCUUUGUGAUAUACUUUCGAAGAGUCGAGUUGUUUGGGAAUGCAGCUCAAAUUGGGUGGUAAAUUCCAUCUAAAGCUAAAUAUUGGCGAGAGACCGAUAGCGAACAAGUACCGUGAGGGAAAGAUGAAAAGCACUUUGGAAAGAGAGUUAACAGUACGUGAAAUUGUUGGAAGGGAAACGCUUGAAGUCAGACUUGCAUUUUGGAGUUCAGCCGCAAGGUGUAUUCUUCAAAUCGCAGGCCAGCAUCAGUUUUCGGGGGUGGAAAAUCGCGGUUUGAAGGUAGCAGUCUCGGCUGUGUUAUAGCUUUCCGCUGGAUUCACUUUUGGGGACUGAGGAAAGGCAGUACGCUUUUUGCAAGAUCUCUAGAGUCUUCCGUACUUAG